Molecule: microRNA precursor, 104 nt
Filed under: Marmota monax (woodchuck)
Lineage: Eukaryota; Metazoa; Chordata; Mammalia; Rodentia; Sciuridae
Source: RNAcentral
AGUGGGAUAGCUGGGUCAGAUGGUGAUUCCAUUCCAAGUUUUCUAAGGCAAUCUCCAUACUGUUUUCCAAAUUGGUUGCACCAAUUUUGAGUCCCACCAGCAAC